This 370-nucleotide ribosomal RNA is filed under the name uncultured eukaryote. RNAcentral's name for it is "partial 18S ribosomal RNA". It matches the Rfam family "Eukaryotic small subunit ribosomal RNA", at positions 592 to 976 of the family's 1831-position model. The record is from RNAcentral.
CAAUAGCGUAUAUUAAAGUUGUUGCAGUUAAAAAGCUCGUAGUUGGACCUUGGACCUGGACAGGCGGUCCGCCUCACGGCGUGUACUGUCUUGCUGGGUCUUUCCUCUUGGUGAUCUGUUGUUUCGGCAGCAGGGAACCAGGACCUUUACUUUGAAAAAAUUAGAGUGUUCAAAGCAGGCUCGACGCCGGAAUAUAUUAGCAUGGAAUAAUAAAAUAGGACGUGCGGUUCUAUUUUGUUGGUUUUUGGAAUCGCCGUAAUGAUUAAUAGGGACAGUCGGGGGCAUUAGUACUCACAUGCUAGAGGUGAAAUUCUUGGAUUUUGUGAAGACUAACUUCUGCGAAAGCAUUUGCCAAGGAUGUUUUCAUUAA